RNAcentral lists this ribosomal RNA (479 nucleotides) under uncultured bacterium. Its description in RNAcentral is "partial 16S ribosomal RNA". It matches the Rfam family "Bacterial small subunit ribosomal RNA", at positions 31 to 507 of the family's 1533-position model. The record is from RNAcentral.
GAACGCUGGCGGCAUGCCUUACACAUGCAAGUCGAACGGUAACAGGUCUUCGGAUGCUGACGAGUGGCGAACGGGUGAGUAAUACAUCGGAACGUGCCCAGACGUGGGGGAUAACGAGGCGAAAGCUUUGCUAAUACCGCAUACGAUCUAAGGAUGAAAGCAGGGGACCGCAAGGCCUUGCGCGUUUGGAGCGGCCGAUGGCAGAUUAGGUAGUUGGUGGGAUAAAAGCUUACCAAGCCGACGAUCUGUAGCUGGUCUGAGAGGACGACCAGCCACACUGGGACUGAGACACGGCCCAGACUCCUACGGGAGGCAGCAGUGGGGAAUUUUGGACAAUGGGCGAAAGCCUGAUCCAGCAAUGCCGCGUGCAGGAUGAAGGCCUUCGGGUUGUAAACUGCUUUUGUACGGAACGAAAAGGCUCUGGCUAAUACCUGGGGCACAUGACGGUACCGUAAGAAUAAGCACCGGCUAACUACGUG